Molecule: ribosomal RNA, 1406 nt
Filed under: human oral metagenome
Description: bacterial LSU rRNA
Rfam family: Bacterial large subunit ribosomal RNA
Source: RNAcentral
UCGGAAUAAGGACUGCCCUCUCAUUAAGAUGAGGAUUUGCUAGAAACUCAGCAGAAGAUUCAGCUAAUAAUAUUUGGUUAUUUAAAAUUACAUUUUUGAGACCAUAAGCUCGGGCGAGCGCCCUUGAGCGUGUCGAAAAAAUGUAAUUAAAUAUUUACCUUAAUACUGAAUUUUUUCGUUGAGACAGAACACAAAUCAGGAUUUGUUUUAGCAAAUUCGUGUCUUUUCUAGUAGUCUAAUCGUCAUUUUGAUGAGAGGGCCGCAGCUAAAGAGCCCACGGAACUGUUUACCAAAAACAUAGGUCUCUGCUAACGCGAAAGCGGAUGUAUAGGGGCUGACUCCUGCCCGGUGUCGGAAGGUUAAGGGGAGAGCUUUACGGUUCGAACUGAAGCCCCGAUGAACGGCGGCGAUAACUAUGAUCGUCCUAAGGUAGCGAAAUUCCUUGUCUGGUAAGUUCAGACCCGCACGAAUGGAGUAAUCAUGUGGGCACUGUCUCGGCGAAGGCCACGGUGAACGUGCAUUGGCGGUAAAGAUGCCGUCUGAUCAUGCCAGGACGAGAAGACCCCAUGGAGCUUUACUACAACUUUGCAUUGAUUAUUGGGACAUUUUGUGUAGAAUAGGUGGAAGACUUUGAAGCAGAUACGCUAGUAUUUGUGGAGUCGAAAUGUGAAAUACCACCCUGAAUGUUUUAGUAAUCUCACUUUUGACCUGAUCGGCCAAAAGGACCGUGCAUGGCGGGUAGUUUAACUGGGGCGGUUGCCUCCUAAAGAGUAGCGGAGGCGUUCAAAGGUUGGCUAACUACGGAUGGAAAUCGUAGUGAUAGUGUAUGCGCAAAAGCCAGCUUGACUGUGAGGGCCACAACCCAAUCAGACACGAAAGUGGGAGCAAAUGACCCGCUGUACAGAACUUCGGUUCAAUUUACGUGGGAAAGACAGCGCACACGGAUAAAAGUUACCCUGGGGAUAACAGGCUGAUCGCGCCCAAUAGUUCACAUAGACGGCGCGGUUUGGCACCUCGAUGUCGGCUCAUCACAUCCUGGAGGGGGAGCACCUUCCAAGGGUCCGGCUGUUCGCCGGUUAAAGUGGUACGCGAGCUGGGUUCAGAACGUCGUGAGACAGUUCGGUUUAUAUCCGGCAUGAUCGUUAGGAAUUUUGAGGAGAUCUACCCUUAGUACGAGAGGACCGGGGCGGACGAAUCUCUAGUGUAUCGGUUGUGACCACCUGUUGCAUCGCCGAGUAGCUAUGUUCGGAAGAGAUAAGCGCUGAAAGCAUAUUAAGCGCGAAGCCCACUCCAAGAUUAGAAUUCCCUAUGAGAUCCCAGAGAGAAGAUCUGGUUGAUAGGCGCAAGAUGGAAGUACCGCAAGGUAUGGAGUCGAAGCGUACUAAUAGAUCCAUCGCCUUUUUAUG